UGGGUGGUAGGGACAGUGUUCCCUGAAAUGGUGGCUGUUCUUAAAGGCACCGGAGAGUGGGGUGGCUGGUCAGUGGUUGGGACAUGAACCAAGAGAAGUUAAGAGGACGGAUGGACUUGGUUCCCCAAACAAAAUUUGAAGGAAAACCAGGGCUCCAAGGCAUUAGACCUCUCCUUUAGACGUGUGAAAGGAUUUUAAUCUGAAAUGGAACUGAGCAUAUGAAACGAAGAAUCACAUGCAUGCACCUUCAGAAGAAAGAAACUUAAGAAUGGAGGGACUGAUGUCCAAAAACUACCUGAUCUAUGAAAGACUUAGACUUAUCUCUUGACCAGUGAACACGCACCAGGAAUCUCUCCCCAUCCUCAAGCCAGUGAACCUACAGCUUGGCCUCUAUCUGGGUUUCCCCCUCUUCACACUUCCUGCCCUUAAACACAGCCGACCCCAACCCUUCAAUGACUGGCCUGUAGCACUAAUGCAUGAACUGCCUAAUGCAAUUCUUCUGCUAUUCCAGAAAAAUUCAAGUUGUGGUAAUAGGAGCUUGCUUCAGUCUACUUCUCGAUUUAGGUUGACUGUCUUCAUUCAUGAGCUUAGAUUCAUCUUUCUUUCCUCUGAAUUCUCCAUCCUGUGACUCAAACUUAGUCCGGGCAGUAUUGCCAUGGCCCUAACAGGGUCAGAACAAAUUAUCUUCUAAAGAUUUAAAAGACUUCCUGCACAAUUUUAACAUGUAGUAAGUGGUUAAUUGAUGCUCAAAUUGGUCAGAGACUUUUCGGUUUAUGCUUCUGUUUUGCCAUUUGGGCUCAGCAAUCUCCAGUCAGCACGCUUCACCCUUGUUUUACAGCUGACAUUGUCUUAACCACAAUUUCAAGGGUUAUUUCUCCCCUUCUUUUUCUUUAACUGCUUUUGGAUUUUGUUUUCUUGAAUGGCUUCUUUUUUCAUGAAAGUGUUUUCUCAGGGAGAGAGUCCUUUUUGAAAUGAUACCUACCUUCUAGUGCAAAGCGUCUCUGUGUCUGUUCAACAAAGCGUCUCCUGUUUUUUAUUCUAAAACCCCACUCUUGUGCCAAGGACCCAUUAAUCAUACCCAAAGGAGUACAAAAGGUCCUGGUUGACCACCUGUCACCUAAUCUUCCUCAGACAUGAACUGGGAGAAACCCGAUCAUGUGGUGAGAUGAGUCAAGUUUGGUUCCGAAUGCAUCGCCAGUUCUUUUAAAGACGAUUUUGUUUUGAGGCAGGAGUGUUACAGACGUGCAUUAGGAUUUUUGUUUUCCCAGCCUCCUGGGUAAAAAAAAAAAAAAAAUCUUGAUUUUUGAGACAUUGUAUAUUUUUGUUUUGCAACAAAAUAAUUGAUAGUAACUUUAUAAUGUUUCUUAAAGAUUGCAAAAUAUCAUUUUCUCCAAGGGGUUUUGGCAAUGGGAGUCCUAUAUCAUCAUCAUCACUAUUAGUGGUGGUGGUGUAUUCAGAUAGGGAACCGAGGCCACUAAAAAUGAAAUUUCCAACCAUGCAGUCUUCAUUAAAAUACAGCUAUCUAUGUCUUAUCAGACCUGGUCAGCCCAAUGCAUUUCUAAUCUCUGGCUACUGCUCCAUCUUGCUCCCUUUAUUACUGGCCUAGGAAAACAUAGGGCUCAAUAAUUUGUAAACGCAGUUGCAAUCCCUAAGAGAGAUAGGUCUGGAACUAGUUUUAGCAUAAGAAGAAAAUCACUGUGUGCUUUUCCUUAGGUUCCUAGAUUGCACGGUUGAUUUAACUCCACACAUAAACAGCUUAUCCACAUUUGUAGAUAUUAUUAUCAACUGAAUUCAGUUUAGCAAAAUACGCCUUUAUGGAGGUAGGGAGCUGGAGGGUGGGGGGAGCUGGCUUUUCCGAUUGCAAGACCUGAGCUGAUCUGGCUUCAGAGCCUGACUGCCUGUGGCCUUGGCCUCACUCCAAUGAAUUCUCUGGUGCCCGGGUUCUUCACAUGCAAAGUGGAGAUAACAAUGCUCCCGGCAUUACAGGUUUGUGAAGAGGAUCGGAUCCUGUCUGUAAAGUGCUUGGGAACUUGCCUGCCUCUUCGGGACCCCUUCAUAAAGGUCAAUCAAGUGGAUGAUCAUUCCUGCCCUGGCCAAGUGUCCCAGCUUCCAGAUGCUGAAAGGUUGGAAAUGUAAGAGCUCCGACAUCAAUGCAUUGAUUGACAAAAACAUCUCCCAGGAAAGAAAUAGGUGGUCACACAGAGGGGGAGCCUGACACAGGUAACCCUCAGUGGAAAAGUCAAGCCCAAGUGAUUCCUGACCAUUGAAGCUAUGAUGCCUUCAUUCAGAAAAUUGCAUAUCUGAGAUACCAAACAAAAAGCUUUGAAAAAAAUGAACAGAAGCCUCAAUUACAUCCAAUGGGAGACCGGAAGGGGGAGCUCUCACACCCUGGGAUCAUUGCAGAGCUUAACAGGAAGAGGAAGUCCUAGCAGAUCCUAGCAGAGCUUAACAGGAAGAGAAGUCCUUUCCUGGCAAGGACUUAGUCAAUGAAAAGCCAUGAACUCUGUUUAUAUUCAUUUUCCUCUCUGUAAAAUUGUUUUCCUUCCUUUGUUUCGGGGGUCUUGUGCAUGGCUCAACAUGGUUGCAGAACCUGCACUGCAAUUCUCUGCUGUUCCCUCUUUGCUGGAGAAAUAGCCGCAAGUCUUUUGCUUCAAGUCAACAGCCUAGAGAGUUUUUACUGAGUGUAAAAUGUGACAGGCUCUCACGACUUCCAAAAUCAGCACAUUGCCCUCCAUGCUGGGGCUGGAUUGCGGAAGACAGGUUAACACAAGUGAAAGAGAGCCAGGGAUUUUUAUUGGACUGAAAACAGUGGGCCAAUAUGGCUGCACCAAAGGUUUGUGGUGCAGAGAUGUGUCCUGAUGUCCUGGGACCAGACCCAAGAUAGCUGCCCCCUCCAUGUUAGUGUGCCUGGACCGUGACCGCUCCAUUAUGGUCUCAAUUCAUCAUCAGGAGCCAAAGCCACCUCUGUGCUAACCAGGUCCCUCAGAUACCACUUGGCCCACAUUGGUUCAGCCUGAGUGCAUGAAAAAGGCAUCCAUCAAUAUUUACCUAAUGAAUGAGUGAAGGUGUGAGGUGGAAAUUUCUAGAAGACUCUUCAGAAAACUCACGAGAACCCAUGAGUCUGAAAUUGAAGUAAGUAUGAUUUCAAAAGGAAAGAUAUCUUAGUAGCAGAGAAAAUCACGUGGAGAAAUGUCUAUAGAGAAUGAGGCCACAUCUCGAGGACGUUAGCCCACAUUUUAUACGAGAUAUUGGGUAUUUCGGGAAGAAGCAACACGGUGAACUGCCUAGAAACAAAAUCACAGGAGUAUUGAAAUGUAGAAAAAAGUAUAAGACUGCUAUGUGUCAGGAAGUAAAUUGGACUCAAUUUUAAAAAUUAAAAGCUAUUGGGAGCAAAAGUCAUCCCAGCAUUUCUUGUUUUUUAAUGAUUAAAAUGCUCAAAAAGUGAGAAAAUAUAUUUUCCAUCAUUAGAUGUAAUUAAAUGAAGAUUCUUUGCUCCACGUGUGGGAUUUAUGCUUUAGUUGAAGAAUUAAGCUAAUGUUUUCCAAGUGUCCCUUUAGUUCUGGCAUUUUGUGAUCUGGUGUGGGUCUAAUCCGCAGACUUACACAUGUAGGAAGAAGUCUGAGAAAGACCACCCGCUUCCAUGUUCAGCCCUGGAAACUGUGAGCCCGAUGGAACACCAGCCCCGACCAUGCUGGUGCAAGGCAUCGUUAUCCUUAAAAGAGGGAGAUUAGCUGGGUGGUCCACGUCUAAUCAGAAAAGCCCUUAAGAGCAGAGAACUUGCUCUAGCUGUUCUAGAGCAAGAAGACAGGGGCAGAAGAAGUCAUGCAUUCAAAGCACUGAAAGGAUCUGACUCUAACCUUGAACAUGGCCACAUGAGAAGGAAUAUGGGCGACAUCUAGGAGCAGAGUGUGAUUUCCAGGUGAUGGCCAGCACGGUAUUGGGGACCUCAAACCUCUAACUGCAAGGAACAGAUUCUGCCAACAAUUGGAAUAAGCCCGGAAGCCUACUGUUCCCUGAUAGGUUCCCAGGAAGAUGGAGACAGACUGCUCCACCCGGCAAAUGUCGCGGUUCACUUUGGAGACCUGCCGUGGACGUGGGUACAGCCCAGCACAAAUCUAUGCACUUUCACGGAAUGUAGAUGCUCAAGUUGGGCAGCAAGAAACAAUGGCCUGUGGAAAACAACUGUCUGCAUAAAUUAACCACCUACAAGGAUUAGCUGUCCUUGGUCACGGUCACGGACUCAACCCCCUACCCCUCCCUUGACCUUCCCCUCCUCCUUCUUCAUCGUUCCUGGUCCAGGUUCCUGCCAUGAACUCCAUCUAGCCACAGAUUCCCACCAUAGAUCCUUUAUAAGCCUAGCACCUCCUCACAGUCAGGGCUGGGGCCAUCUUGAACUCAGCCUGUCCCCUCUGAUGCCUUAAUAAAUCUCUCUGGCUUUCCCAACUUGGCCUUGGACGUUCCUCCCUCGGCAAACCUAACACUCCCCAGAAUCUCCCCCGAAGUGCACACCUGCCAAAAUCUUGAUUUUAGCUCAUGAGCCUGGGAGUAGAGCCAGUCAAGCCCCCCUGAAACGCUGACCUACAAAAGUGAAAAAAACCGAGAGAGUGAAUGAAUGUGAUUUUAGCCACCAAGUCUGUGGUAUUUGGCAAGAGAAAACUAAGACAGCAAGCUUGUGGUUGUUCAAUUCCUAAAUGAAUUAAGACCUUUUGAGUGAAUCAUCAUUUCUGAAACAUAGGCUAUUUAUCUAUCAUAUGUGUUGUCUCGUAUAUUAUUUAGGUAUUUUGGGUUUUGGCUUUUGUUUCUGUUUUUUUGUUUUGUUUUGCUUUGUUUUUGUUUUUGUCUUCUGAAAGCCAGUUCAUUCAUGUAUAUAUUUUAAGAAGUAAAACACAGUAAUUGUGUUAACUGGAUUUUUUCCUAACUUGUUAUGAUUUGGGGUUAUAUUAUUUUCAUUAUUAGCAGGACAAAAUCAGAACUAUGGCCCUGCACAAUCCUAUUUGGUUUAGUCCGUUCUUUCUAAAACUGCAAAGGAUUAUUUCUUCAGAAAGUUCAGGCAUAUUCAAACAUGGUGAAAUAAUAUUUCAAAUCACAAUAUCAUUUCAUUUUGGGCAUUUUGGGUGGAAACGGCUUAUCAAAAUUUUUCAUGCCUUCAGUUCACAGAUUCUUGAUUUGUCCAUGCUAGUUGUAAAGUGAUUCUGUUGUGCCUACCACAUCCUUCUCAAAAAAGAAAAAAAAAA
Molecule: long non-coding RNA, 5234 nt
Filed under: Sus scrofa (pig)
Lineage: Eukaryota; Metazoa; Chordata; Mammalia; Artiodactyla; Suidae
Description: lncRNA (ENSSSCG00040035509.1)
Source: RNAcentral